Molecule: long non-coding RNA, 598 nt
Organism: Ruditapes philippinarum (Manila clam)
Lineage: Eukaryota; Metazoa; Mollusca; Bivalvia; Venerida; Veneridae
Exons: 3
Source: RefSeq, a predicted model, not a curated record
CAUUUAAAAAGAAGUUGACCGGUGACAGAAAUUAUAUACGUCAGAAUGUAUAGUUUCACGUUUUCUAACGUUCGUUGUUGCAACGUAUUUUUCGAACUUCCAGGACAUACAUCAUGUUAACUUUACAUACGUGCGUACACAUAUUUGUACGUGCGCAUAAAUGUGAUUUCAUUUUGCAUAUCAGUAAAAAGGUGACACGCAGUCGUCAGGUUGACAUUCUUACAUUUGGAAGUAUGUUAUCUUUUUCAGUAUCUACUUAGUAUUAAAGUUAUGAAAAUGAAAAAGGGUCGAAAGUUAUCAUUAUGUCAACUGUAUACAGCUUAAGUUAAGGUUCAAAUGCGUUUGAACAUAAUUGCAUGUAAUUUUCAAAGAUUUGACAGACUUGUUGGCAUCUCUGGUAAAGCAAUCUGCUAGUCAGGAACGUGAAGUUUGUUUAUUUGGAAUAUUAAUCGGAUUUGUAAUACAAUAUAGAAAAAACUAUCAUGGACGGGGAAUUUUACAACUUAGUUCCAUAUAAUGUGCCAGUAUGGGCACAACAUCUACAAAACAUCCCUACAUGUUUUGUCAAACUUUCAAAUUUGAACACCCCAGUAAAAAA